CCAUGAUGGCUCUAGUUGCAGCACCACUACUGCUCACACCUGCCCUGGAACAACAGUCCUGCUACCCAGGAUUCCUUGCAACUGUAGAGAAUUGUAGGCUGCAGCUGGGUGAUUUCACAACUUGCUUGCCCACGCCUGAUGGGGGACACAGAGGAGACCGUUGUGACCAUCAACCAAACUUUCCAGAGCACAACAUGCACUUAUUGGAGCCCCCUGAAACCCUCAACAACUGCACCCUGACAAUGUGGCCUAUUAAUAGACCCCAAUUCCUGCAGUGAGUAUGAUAGAGAUUCUUCUUUAUCCACCAUGUUUGAACCUUCUGUCCAUUGCUCAUCACUCUCAAAUCAUUGGAGUUCUUGAACCAAUGUACUGUGUGUCUUCCUUAUUGACUAUUCGAUUUCAACCAUGUAGUAGACACCAGUAAAUAUUAGGUAAAUAUGAAUGAGUGAAUAAAUGCCAUGAGGAAUUAUCUGAUAACGUAUGUAGCUCUGGAUGAUCUGUUGAAAAUCUCCAGCAAGAAACACACCAAUCUGAGUUAUACACAGCAAAAAAUUAAAACAAAAUAGCAAGC
RNAcentral lists this long non-coding RNA (571 nucleotides) under Homo sapiens (human). RNAcentral's name for it is "HSALNT0222509". Lineage: Eukaryota; Metazoa; Chordata; Mammalia; Primates; Hominidae. The record is from RNAcentral.